CUAAUUUGAUCUUCAUCUUGGCUUAAAUUAGUACACAAAGUUUGUAAAUUUGUCGUCACACCUGGUGAGUUUUUUCUUCAGGCAUGGACUGACAAUUUCGCAACGGUUGGGCUGAUGGACUGGCUUAUAUAACUCAGUGUCCAAUCCAGACCGGUAGCAGCUACAUUUAUGAUUUUAAUGUAACAGGACAAGGGGGUACAUUAUGGUGGCAUGCACAUAUUCUUUGGCUAAGAGCAACUGUACAUGGUGCAAUUGUUAUUAUGCCAAAACAAGGAACCCCAGUUCCCUUUCCGCAGCCAGCUAGGGAAGAAACUCUGAUCUUGGGUGAGUUUAUACAAUCGACAAUUAUUGAUGAAAUAGAACUAGAAUUAAGCCGAGUAAAUCAUGAAUCGGUACGUAUUAAGAUCUAAUUUUGUUGAGAGUACAGGUGAAUGGUGGCAUGCAGAUGUAGAAGAGGUUGUCAAGCAAGGAAACAGCUUGGGCUUGCCUCCUAAUAUGUCUGAUGCGCAUACGAUCAAUGGGAAGUCAGGGCCACUCUUUCCAUGUUCCGAAAAACAAAGGUUAGUAGUACUAAUUUUUGAAAGACUAUGGUGCCAUAUGAGAAGAAUACACUGAAAUUAAUAUCUUGAUCAAUUUUCUUCUUGGCUGAUACUUUUGCCAUGGAGGUUGAACAAGGGAAGACAUACCUCUUGAGAAUCAU
RNAcentral lists this long non-coding RNA (700 nucleotides) under Panax ginseng (ginseng). RNAcentral's name for it is "long non-coding RNA (PGIN_LNC017348)". Lineage: Eukaryota; Viridiplantae; Streptophyta; Magnoliopsida; Apiales; Araliaceae. The record is from RNAcentral.